This 83-nucleotide ribosomal RNA is filed under the name Triticum aestivum (bread wheat). The record is from RNAcentral. Lineage: Eukaryota; Viridiplantae; Streptophyta; Magnoliopsida; Poales; Poaceae.
GGAUGCGAUCAUACCAGCACUAAAGCACCGGAUCCCAUCAGAACUCCGAAGUUAAGCGUGCUUGGGCGAGAGUAGUACUAGNN